AUUGAACGCUGGCGGCAUGCUUUACACAUGCAAGUCGAACGGUAACAGGCCGCUAGGUGCUGACGAGUGGCGCACGGGUGAGUAAUGCAUCGGAACGUGCCCCGUCGUGGGGGAUAACUACUCGAAAGAGUAGCUCAUACCGCAUACGAUCUAUGGAUGAAAGCGGGGGACCGUAUGGCCCCGCGCGAUUGGAGCAGCCGAUGUCAGAUUAGGUAGUUGGUGGGGUAAAGGCUCACCAAGCCAACGAUCUGUAGCUGGUCUGAGAGGACGACCAGCCACACUGGGACUGAGACACGGUCCAGACUCCUACGGGAGGCAGCAGUGGGGAAUAUUGGACAAUGGGCGCAAGCCUGAUCCAGCAAUGCCGCGUGCAGGAAGAAGGCCUUCGGAUUGUAAACUGCUUUUGUACGGAACGAAACGGCUCUGGUUAAUACCCGGGGGUAAUGACGGUACCGUAAGAAUAAGCACCGGCUAACUACGUG
RNAcentral lists this ribosomal RNA (482 nucleotides) under uncultured bacterium. RNAcentral's name for it is "partial 16S ribosomal RNA". It matches the Rfam family "Bacterial small subunit ribosomal RNA", at positions 30 to 507 of the family's 1533-position model. The record is from RNAcentral.